GGGUGCAGUCAUACCAAUGUCAAUGCACCAAAUCCCAUCAAAACUCCACAUUUAGCUACACUUGGGCUAGAGUAGUAUUGGGAUGGGUGAUCUCUCAAGAAGUCUUAGUGUUACACCCU
Molecule: non-coding RNA, 119 nt
Organism: Picea glauca (white spruce)
Lineage: Eukaryota; Viridiplantae; Streptophyta; Pinopsida; Pinales; Pinaceae
Source: Rfam